UACCAAUUAAAAGACAAACACUGGCAGAAUGAAUAAAAAAAUCAUUCAAUUGCUAUCAAGCUGAUCUGACUCAUGGUGACCCCUCCCCCCAUGUGUGUCAGAGUAGUAGUGACACUCAAGUGUGUGAGUUCAACAGCUAAUUUUUCAAAAGUAGACCGCCAAGCCUUUCUUCCGAAGUGCCUCUGGGUGGACUCAAACCUCCAACAUUUUGGUUAGCAGCUGAAUGCAUUAACCGUUUGCACCUCCCAAGGACUCUAUGUUUAUUUCUGUAUUACUUGUCUUUAUACUAUAUACAUACACACACACAUAGACAUCCAUGAGUGGUUCAUACAGAUGCUUUGGACUUCGACUAGCAGGGCUCUAUUAAUUAUUGAUAGAAAAGUACUGAUACCAAUUACAAAUGCGUAUUUGUCCAUUUCCCCUUUCAGAUUUAUUAGUUUUUGUAUUUUGGAGCCCUGUUGUUAAAUAUGUACACAUUUAGGAUGGUUGUAUCUUUUUGGAGAAGUGAACCUUUAUUAUGUUAUGUCCCUACCUAUUCCCAAUAAUACUCCUUUUUCUGAAGUAUAAUUUGUCUGAUAUUAAUAUAGUACUGCAGUAGAAAUGGAUAAUUUUCAACCAUUUCAAGAGGUAGCAUAAGAUCAAGAACUGAUGGUAUAAAAGGAAGAAAUCGAAGCUGCAUUGAAGGCAUUGGUGAAAAAACUAUCCUCUCUCCACCAUCUUCACUAACUCUGACACCAACUGUCCCUCACACAGCACUCCCUACUUCUCUGCUGGGUUCAAUAAUUCAUUGCAACGGCCACACAGAGCUCACAGUCCAUAUUCAUGAUUAUGGGGUUUAUUAGGGAAGUAACAGUUAUAACUCAGGCUCAAAGACACUCAGAAUACAGUUCUUCUAUUGGGACAGCCUCUUCCCUCCUGUGCUCAUAGGCAUGCCUCUGCCUGGCCUUGGGCCUCUCUCCAAAGGCACUCAGCUUUCCUUCUCCCUGGGCCAUCAUCUCCUAUAGCCGGGUCCCUGUUGCUUGGUCUCUCCUGCCAUGGCAUCUUACCGUCUUCAGGGUUACAGCUUCCUCUCUCUAUCUCAGUCUCUGCUUCUAGGAGCUUCUCAGUGCAGGGAUCUCAGGUCCAUAAUAUAUGCUCAGCUCCUGGCUGUUCUUCCUUGAUGGGAGUUGAAUCCUCCUCUUUGCUCUGGAACUGGUUCUCUUUGAAGGGAAAACUAAACAAUCCCCUUGGUGAGCCACAAUUACCCUAUCACACAGUCCUGCCCAAGUACCAGGGUAGAUGUUAUAAGACCAUGGCUAGAAAGGCCACACAAAGUAAACAAUCACAUCACAGUACCUUGGACUCAUUUUUCGAGUGAAGUAUCAAAAAUCCCAUCAGAACGGAUUGAUAAAGAACAUAAUCAAUAGCAAGAACAUUUUCAUAAUUAUGUUUUCUGUAUUUGGAAGAAAUCUAUAGCACUAUUCUUAUUUUGCCAAUUCACAGGGAUCACAGAGAUUAGUGGUAGAUAUCGCAGUACCAGAAAACUCUCUGGUGAAACAGUCUCUGAGCAGUCUUACAAACACGGAUAUUCCACCAGAGUCAAAAGAAUGACGUUACAUUAAUCAUCAAAGAGAACAUUUCAAGAUCUAGCCUGAAGUACAAUGCUGUCACUGAUAGGCUAAUAUCCAUACACUUACGAGGAAGACCAGUUUAUAUGACUAUUCAAAUUUAUGCACCAACCACCAAUGCCAAAGACAAAGAAAUUGAAGAUUUUAAACAACUUCUGCAGCCUGAGAUUGAUCAAACAUGCAAUCAAGAUGCAUUGAUAAUUACUGGUCAUUAGAAUGUUAAAGUUGGAAACAAAGAAGGAAAAGUAGUUGGAAAAUACAGCAUUGCUGAUAGAAAUGAUGCCAGAAAUCUCAUGAAAGAAUUUUGCAAGACCAGUGACUCAUCCAACUAUUUUUUUUUCACCAACAUAAACGGCAGCUAUACACGUGGACUUUACCAGAUGGAAUACACAGGAAUCAAACUGACUACAUCUGUGGAAAGAGAAGAUGGGAAAACUCAUAUCAUCAGUCAGAACAAGGCCAGGGAUCGAUUGUGAAACAGACUGUCAAUUGCUCAUAUGGGAGUUCAAGUUGAAACUGAAGAAAAUUAGAAUAAGUCAAAAAGGGCCAAGGUACAACCUUGAGUAUAUCUCACCUGUAUUUAGAGACCACCUCAAGAAUACAUUUUACAUGUUAAACACUAACGACUGACGACCACGUGAGUUGGGGAAUGACAUCAAGGACAUCACACAUGAAGAAAGCAAGAGGUCCUUUAAAAGACAGGAAAGAAAGAAAAGACCAAACGGAUGUCGGAAGAGACUCUGAACCUUGCUCUUGAAUGUCGGGUAGCUAAAGUGAAAGGAAGAAAUGACGAAGUAAUAGAGCUGAACAGAAGAUUUCAAAGGGUGGCUUGAGAAGAAAAAGUAUUAUAAUGACAUGUGUAAAGAUCUGGAGAUAGAUAACCAAAAGGGAAGAACACACUCAGCAUUUCUCAAGCUGAAAGAACUGAAGAAAAAAUUCAACCCUUGAGUUGCAAUACUGAAGGAUUCUACGAGUAUAAUAUUAAACGACGCAGGAAGCAUCAAAAGAAGAUGAAAGUAAUACCCACAGUCACUAUGCCAAAAAGGAUUGGUCGACCUUCAACCAUUUCAGGAAGUAGCAUAUGAUCAGAAACCGAUGGUACUGAAGGAAGAAGUCCAUGCUGCACUGAAGGAAUUGGUGAGAAAAAAAAGCCUCCAAGAAUUGACGGAAUACCAACUGAGAUGUUUCACCAAAUGGAUGCAGCACUGGAAUCGCUCACUUGUCUAAUCCCAAGAAAUUUGGAAUACAGCUACCUGGCCUAUGAACUGGAAAGGAUCCAUAUUUACACCUAUUCCUAAGAAAGGUGAUCCAACCAAAUGUGGAAAUUGUCAAACAAUAUCAUUAAUAUCACAUGCAAGUAAUAUUCUGCUAAAAAUCAUUCAAAAGCAGCUGCAGCAGUACAUUGACAGGGAACUGCCAGAAAUUUAAGCAGGAUUCAGAAGAGGACAUGGAAGAAGGGAUAUCACAGCUGAUGUCAUAUCGAUUCUGGCUGAAAGCAGAGAAUACCAGAAAGAUGUUUAAACCUGUGUUUUAUUGACUAUGCAAAGGCCUUUGACUGCUUGGAUCAUAACAAAUUAUGGAUAACAUUGCGAAGAGUGGGAAUUCCAGAACACUCAAUUGUGCUGAUGAGGAACCUGAUCAAGAGGUAGACGCUCAAACAGAAAAAAGUGAUACUGCGUGGUUUAAAGUCAGGAAAGGUGUGUGUCAGGGUUGUAUCCUUUCACGAUACUUACUUAAUCUGCAAAUAAUCUGAGAAGCUGGACUAUACAAAGAACACGACAUCAGGAUUGGAGGAAGACUCAUUAACCUGCAUUUUGCAGAUGACACAACCCUGCUUGCUAAAAGAUAAGAGGACUUGAAGCACUUACUGAUGAAGAUCAAAGACCGCGGCCUUCAGUAGAGAUUGCACUUCAACAUAAAGAAAACAAAAAUCCUCACAACUGGAUCAAUGAGCAGCAUCAUGAUUAACGGAGAAAAGAUUGAAGUUGUCAAGGAUUUCAUUUUAUUUGGAUCCACAAUCGACACCCAUGGAAACAGCAGUUAAGAAAUCAAAAGAUGCACUGCCAUCAGGCAAAUUGGUGCAAAAGACCUCCAAAGUGUUGAAAAGCAAAGACAUCACCUUGAAAACUAAGAUGCAACUGAUCCAAGCCAAGGUGUUUUCAGUGGCCUCGUAUGUGUGGGAAAGCUGGCCGAUGAAUAAGGAAGACUCUAGAAGAAUUGAUGCCUUUUAAUUGUGUUGGUGAAGAAUUCUGAAUAUACCAUGAACUGCCAAAAGAACGAAAAAAUCUAUCCUGAAAGAAGUAUAACCAGAAUGUACCCUAGCCUAGAAACAAAGAUGGCUGGCUAGACUACAUCCUACAUACUUUGGACCUGUUUUCAGAAGGAAUUAGUCCAUGGAGAAGGAUAUCAUGUACUAUUUCUUUGGACUAUCUAAGACCUGAAGAACAAAAUCUCAUGGUCCAAAUUAACGUUUUUACUUACUCAUUUUCAAAUGUAGCCCUGGUGGAACAGUGGUUAAGAGCCUGGCUGAAACUAAAAGGUUUCAACCAGCCUCUCCUUAGAAACCCUACUGUGCAGUUCUAUUCUGUCCAAUAGGGUCACUGUUAGUUAAAAUUUAAUCCACAGCAAUGAGUUAUUUAAUUUUCAAAUAUAAUUUUUUUGUGUUAAUGUCUAAAUUCUAAAGUAAAUUUCAUUUUAUAAACUUCUGGUUUUAUAAAUUUAUUUUCUAUUAUUCAAAUUUAUUGUUAUGGCAGAAUCAAAUUUAAAAAGUGACAUAAUUUUCAAUCCAGGCAAAAUGAAACGGCAAUAACUAAGUGCCGUGCAAAAAUGGAAGCCUGCAGAAGAUAAAAAGAAAAUGAUCUGUGAAUCCCUAAAGACUAUUCCAAAACUCGUUUUUAGAAUGUAAUAAAUCAGCAGAGACUUCUUCCAUUAAAGGUACGUGCUUAAUGGGUGGGAAUCAUCCUACUAGUACCACUAGUGCUGAAAUUAAUGAUGGCAAUACAAAUAUAACAGAAUUUGUUCCAAAUUCUGCAUCCAUUUCUCGCUGUAGUAAAAAAAAAAAGAAAUUAGUAAUGAUCUAGAAAGUGAAACUAAGAAUAUUAAAUUGUCACAUCUGCAGACCCCAUAAAUAACAGACAUGCAGAUCCUGCCUUGUGGAAUAAUUUUCUUCCAAUGAAGUAAAUUACUGGAUCAAAAGAGGCCCAAGUGAUUGUCAACAUCACAGUUGUCCACUUGUAAAUUCGUGUUGAAAAUUCCUGGACGGUAAACAAAGUUCUGUAGCCAGAAUUUUUUCUAGAGUGCAAAGUUAAUGAUGAAAAUUAUAAGAGGGAGUGGCUACUGCAAUCUCCAUCAGUCAGCUCUGUGUACUGCUUUGUUAGCAAACCUACUAACCAAACAAACAAACCCGUCAUCCUCAUUUAAUUCUCGAAUUGUUACAGAUGAAUUUAGCAAUUGGUGCAAAUUGAAUAGGAUCGGUAAACAUGAAAAUAGUUCAAUUCACAGAGAUUAUGUUAUCAUAUUUAAACCAAACACAUUGUUCUGGCUUAAUUUAUGAACUGGAAUCACAAAUUAAUGAACAUCAGUAUUGAAAAGCCAUUUUGUAAUGUGUCGUUGUUGUCAUAACAAUCACUGAAAGUGGACUAUCUUCGUGAAAAAGAAAUGAAGUCUUUGGGUCCCCACGAAAUGGAAAAUUUUAAAGUUGGCUUCAACUUGCUGCUCAUUUGAUCUAUUUUUAGCAAGUCACAUCUCAAAACACGGUAACACAGGAAAGGGCAAUCCAUCCCAUAAUUCUAAAAUAAUGUGUAAAAAAUGUAUAAUCUUGAUAAGUGAUGAAGUUCAAUCAACUACUGUCAGUGAAAUAAGCAUAGCUCGAUAUUUCAUUUUGUCUGUGGAUUCCACUUCUGAGCCUUCUCAUACAGGCCAGCUAAGGAUUGUUUAAAGAUCCGUAUCUCCAACAGAUAGAAAACCUGUGUGGUGAUUUAUCACAUUUGCUAGCUUAAAAAAUCUAAAAAAUCAUACUGGUAAAGACAUUGCAAAGCAAGUGUUUCACUAAUUAUGUGAAGUUUGCAAAAUUGAUUUUUCUAAGUGCAGAGACCAAUCCUAUGACAAUGCUGCCAUUACGUCACUGCAUUAUAAAGGCAUACAACAGAAAAUUCUGGAAUGAAAUUAAUAUGCCCUUUUCAUACCAAGGUGCUGCACAUUCACUUAAUUUUGUAGGAUGUAUCACAAUAGAUUUUUUUUGUCCAAAAGCAAUUGAUGUUUUUUCUAAUAUUCAGUUACUUUACAAAUUUUUUGCCACCUCUACUCACUGAUGAGCUGUUCUUAAAACACACUCAGGGAAUGAUUGAGCAUUAAAAUGUCUAAUACACAUUGGGAAGCACAUGCUAUAGCAACAAGUACAAUUCUAGGCACCACACAGAAUAUUGCUGAAGACCAGAUACAGAAAGGAAACACCAAAACAGAAGCUAAAAUCAUCGCUGCCUUAGUCACCUAGUGCUGCCACAACAGAUACCAUAAGUGGAUGGCUUUAACAAAGAGAAAUUUAUUUUCUCACAGUCUAGUAGGUUACAAGUCCAAAUUCAGGACGUCAGCUCCAGGGGAAGGUUUUCUCUCUCUGUUGAUUCUGGAAGAAGGUCCUUGUCCUCCAUCUUCCCAUGGUCAAGGAGCUUCUCAGGCGCAGGGACCCCGGGUCCAAAGGACAUGCUCUACUCUUGGUAGUAUGAGGUCCCCAACUCUCUAUCCUUUCAUCUCCUGGGAGAUAAAAGGUGGUGCAGGCCACGCCCUAGGGAAACUCCCUGUAUCUCAAAUCAGGGAGGUGUUAAAAUCCCACCCUAAUCCUCUCAACAUAAAAUUACCAUCACAAAAUGGAGGACAACCUCACAUGGCCUAUCCAAGUUGAUACACACAUUUUGGGGGGACAUAAUUCAAUCCAUGACAUUCUACCCUUUGGCCCCCCCAAAAUCACAUUCUUGCAAAUGGAAAACAUAUUCAUCCCAUCACAAACCAAAACCAAACCCACUGCCGUCCAGUCGAUUCUGACUCAUAGCGACCCUAUAGGACAGAGUAGAACUUCCCCAUAGAGUUUCCAAGGAGUGCCUGGCAGAUUCGAACUGCCAACCUUUCAGUUAGCAGCUGUAGCACUUAACCACUACGCCACCAGGGUUUCCUCAUCCCAUCAUAGCAUAGAAAAAGUCUUAAAUCAAGUCCAAGUCCAAAAUUCAAAAACCCCUCUUCAUCUGUGAAAUCUAGGACACAAGUUAUCUGCUUCCAAAGGUACAAUGGCAUAAAAGGAACAAGCUAGACAUUUCCAUUACAAACUGAAGAACUUGAGGGAAAGAAGGCAUAACAUGAACCAAGCGAGUCAGGAGAACACAUCGCAUUAGCCCUCAAAGACAUUGCAAACCAAGUGUUUCACUAAUUAGAUGAAGCUUGCAAAAUUGAUUUUUCUAAGUUCAGAGACCAAUCCUAUGACAAUGCUGAGAAAUGUCACUGCAUUAUAAAGGCAUGCAACAGAAAAUUCUGGAAUGUAAUGAAUAUGCCAUUUUCAUACCAAGGUGCUGCAUAUUCACUUAAUUUUGUAGGAUGUAUCACAAUGGAUUUUUGUCCAAAAAAUGAUUUUUUUCUUCUAUUCAGAUAUUUUACAAAUUUUUUGCCAUCUCUAUUCACCGAUGAGCUGUUCAUAGGCCAUGAUCAGCAUUAAAAUGUCUUUCUAAUACCCACUGGGAAGCACAUGCUACAGCAACGAAUGCAAUCCUGGAAUCACACGCUCAGAUUCUAGGUGCCAUAGAGAAUAUUGCUGAAGACCAGUCACAAAAAGGAGAUACCAGAACAGAAGCUUAAAACGUCACCAACAAAAUGUAAACACAGCCCAUAUAUUUAUGUUUGUUAUGUAUAAUAAUAUAUAGCAUCAUUUUCAUUUGAUGAGUCAAUUCUCCAAGAUUCAGAAAUAAAUUUAUAGACAUGCAUGGAUCUCUACCACCUAUUAACAAGAUAUUUACAUAAGAGAAUAUUUUGAAAACACAAUAAAACAAAUACUGCCAAAUACUGAUUAUCAAGCAGUUCCUUGUUGCAGAAGCAUUAAAAGAAACAAGUAAAUGACAGAAAUGCUCCAGAAGUAUUGAGUGCCAGGGAUCAAUUUCACACAACCAUCCUCACUGACACACUUGAAUCUUGCAUGAAAUGAAGGGCAAAAUGAAAUGGCAAUAACUAAGUGGAGUGCAAAAAUGGAAGCCUGCAGGAGAUAAAAAGAAAAUGAUUUGUGAAUCCCUAAAGACAAUCCCAAAAUUCCUUUUUAGAAUGUAAUAAAUCAGAAGAGACUUCUUCCAUUAAAGAAGCAUUAGAAGAAACAAGUAAAUGACAGAAAUGCUCCAGAAGUAUUGAGUGCCAGGAAUCAAUUUUACAUAACCACCAUCACUGACACACUUGAAUCUUGCAUGAAAUGAAGGGCAAAAUGAAAUGGCAAUAACUAAGUGGAGUGCAAAAAUGGAAGCCUGCAGGAGAUAAAAAGAAAAUGAUUUGUGAAUCCCUAAAGACAAUCCCAAAAUUCCUUUUUAGAAUGUAAUAAAUCAGCAGAGACUUCUUCCAUUAAAGGUACGUGCUUAUGGGUGGGAAUCAUCCUACUAGUACCACUAGUGCUGAAAUUAAGGAUGGCAAUACAAAUAUAACAGGAUUUGUUCCAAAUUCUGCAUCCAUUUCUUGCUGUAGUAAAAAAAAAAAAAAAUUAGUAAUGAUCUAGAAAGUGAAACUAAGAAUAUUAAAUUGUCACAUCUGCAGACCCCAUAAAUAACAGAAAUGCAGAUCCUGCCUUGUGGAAUAAUUUUCUUUCAAUGAAGUAAAUUACUGGAUCAAAAGAGGCCCAAGUGAUUCUCAACAUUACAGUUGUCCACUUGUAAAUUUGUGUUGAAAAUUCCUGGAUGGUAAACAAAGUUCUAUAGCCAGAAUUUUUUCUAGAGUGCAAAGUUAAUGAUGAAAAUUAUAAGAGGGAGUGGCUACUGCAAUCUCCAUCAGUCAGCUCCCUGUAUUGUUUUGUUUGCAAACCUACUAACCAAACAAACCUGUCAUCCUCACUUAAUUCUCGAAUUGUUACAGAUGAAUUUAGCAAUUGGUGCAAAUUGAAUCGGAUCAGUAAACAUGAAAAUAGUUCAAUUCACAGAGAUCAUGUUAUCAUAUUUAAACCAAACACAUUUGUUCUGGCUUAACUUAUGAACUGGAAUCACAAAUUAAUGAACAUCAGUAUUGAAAAGACAUUUUAUAAUGUGUCAUUGUUGUCAUAACAAUCACUGAAUGUGGACUAUCUUCAUGAAAAAGAAAUGAAGUCUUUGGGUCCCCACGAAAUGGAAAAUUUUAAAGUUGACUUCAACUUGUUGCUCAUUUGAUCUAUUUUUAGCAAGUCACAUCUCAAAAUAUGGUAACACAGGAAAGGGCAAUCCAUCCUAUAAUUCUCAAAUAAUGUGUAAAAAAUUUAUAAUCUUGAUAAGUGAUGAAGUUCAAUCAACUACUGUCAGUGAAAUAAGCAUAGCUCGAUAUUUCAUUUUGUCUGUGGAUUCCACUUCUGAGCCUUCUCAUACAGGCCAGCUAAGUAUUGUUUAAAGAUCCGUAUCUCCAACAGAUAGAAAACCUGUGUGGUGAUUUAUCACAUUUCCUAGCUUAAGAAAUCAUACUGGUAAAGACAUUGCAAAGCAAGUGUUUCACUGAUAAUGCGAAGCUUGCAAAAUUGAUUUUUCUAAGUGCAGAGACCAAUCCUAUAACAAUGCUGCCAUUACGUCACUGCAUUAUAAAGGCAUACAACAGAAAAUUCUGGAAUGAAAUUAAUAUGCCAUUUUCAUACCAAGGUGCUGCACAUUCACUUAAUUUUGUAGGAUGUAUCACAAUAGAUUUUUUUUUGUCCAAAGGCAAUUGAAGUUUUUUCUAAUAUUCAGUUACUUUACAAAUUUUUUGCCACCUCUACUCACUGAUGAGCUGUUCUUAAAACAUAUUCAGGCAAUGAUUGAGCACUAAAAUGUCUAAUACACAUUGGGAAGCACAUGCUAUAGCAACAAGUACAAUUCUAGGUGCCACACAGAAUAUUGCUGAAGACCAGAUACAAAAAGGAAACUCCAAAACAGAAGCUAAAAUCAUCGCUGCCUUAGUCACCUAGUGCUGCCACAACAGAUACCAUAAGUGGAUGGCUUUAACAAUGAGAAAUUUAUUUUCUCACAGUCUAGUAGGUUACAAGUCCAAAUUCAGGACGUCAGCUCCAGGGGAAGGCUUUCUCUCUCUGUUGAUUCUGGAAGAAGGUCCUUGUCCUCCAUCUUCCCAUGGUCAAGGAGCUUCUCAGGUGCAGGGACCCCGGGUCCAAAGGACAUGCUCUGCUCUUGGUAGUAUGAGGUCCCCAACUCUCUAUCCUUUCAUCUCCUGAGAGAUAAAAGGUGGUGCAGGCCACACCCUAGGGAAACUCCCUGUAUCUCGGAUCAGGGAGGUGUUCAAAUCCCACCCUAAUCCUCUCAACAUAAAAUUACCAUCACAAAAUGGAGGACAACUUCACAUGGCCUAUCCAAGUUGAUACACACAUUUUGGGGGGACAUAAUUCAAUCCAUGACAUUCUACCCUUUGGCCCCCCCAAAAUCACAUUCUUGCAAAUGGAAAACAUAUUCAUCCCAUCACAAACCAAAACCAAACCCACUGCCGUCCAGUCGAUUCCGACUCAUAGUGACCCUAUAGGACAGAGUAGAACUUCCCCAUAGAGUUUCCAAGGAGGGCCUGGCAGAUUCGAACUGCCGAGCUCUUGGUUAGCAGCCGUAGCACUUAACCACUACGCCACCAGGGUUUCCUCAUCCCAUCAUAGCAUAGAAAAGGUCUUAAAUCAAGUCCAAAAUUCAAAAAUCCCUCUUCAUCUGUGAAAUCUAGGACACAAGUUAUCUGCUUCCAAAGGUACAAUGGCAUAAAAGGAACAAGCUAGACAUUUCCAUUACAAACUGAAGAAGCUUGAGGGAAAGAAGGCAUAACAUGAACCAAGCGAGUCAGGAGAACACAGCGCAUUAGCCCUCAAAGACAUUGCAAACCAAGUGUUUCACUAAUUAGGCGAAGUUUGCAAAAUUGAUUUUUCUAAGUGCAGAGACCAAUCCCAUGACAAUUCUGUGAAAUGUCACUGCAUUAUAAAGGCAUGCAACGGAAAAUUCUGGAAUGUAAUGAAUACGCCAUUUUCAUACCAAGGUGCUGCAUAUUCACUUAAUUUUGUAGGAUGUAUCACAAUGGAUUUUUGUCAAAAAAAUGAUUUUUGUCUUCUAUUCAGAUAUUUUACAAAUUUUUUGCCAUCUCUAUUCACCGAUGAGCUAUUCAUAGGCAAUGAUCACCAUUAAAAUGUCUUUCUAAUACCCACUGGGAAGCACAUGCUAUAGCAACGAGUGCAAUCCUGGAAUCACACACCCAGAUUCUAGGUGCCAUAGAGAAUAUUGCUGAAGACCAGUCACAAAAAAGCGAUACCAGAACAGAAGCUUAAAACGUCGCCAACGAAAUGUAAACACAGACCAUGUAUUUAUGUUUGUUAUGUAUAAUAAUAUAUUGUAUCAUUUUCAUUUGACGAGUCAGUUCUCCAAGAUUCAGAAGUAAAUUUAUAGACAUGCAUAGAUCUCUACCAGCUAUUAACAAGAUAUUUACAUAAGAGAAUAUUUUGAAAACACAAUAAAACAAAUACUGCCAAAUACUGAUUAUCAAGCAGUUUAUUGUUGCAGAAGCAUUAGAAGAAACAAGUAAAUGACAGAAAUGCUCCAGAAGUAUUGAGUGCCAGGAAUCAAUUUUACAUAACCACCAUCACUGACACACUUGAAUCUUGCAUGAAAUGAAGGGUAAGGAUGUAUGAAGUUCCUUCUGAUAUUUUUUUCCUUCUUAAUGUGAAUAUAACUGAUGAAGAAUUCCUGAAGGUAUCCAAUAAAUUAGCACAGGCUUAUCCUGAUGAGGAAACCCUGGUGGCAUAGUGGGUAAGUGCUACGACUGCUAACCGAGAGAAGGCAGUUCAAAUCCACCAGGGGCUCCCUGGAAACUCUAUCGGGCAGUUCUACUCUGUCCUAUAGGGUUGGGAUGAGUCAGAAUCGACUCGACGGCAGUGGGUUUGGUUUUUAUCCUGAUGACUUAAGACAAACCUUUAUGGAGAAGUGCUACAAAAUCAUUCUUACGUUAGAAUUAAGUUUAGAGAUUCAAGUCAAAUUUUACUCAUGUAGGCAUGUAAAUCAAAAAACCAAACCCAUUGCUGGUGAAUUGAUUUCAACACACAGCAACGCUAUAGGACAGAGUAGAAUUGCCCCCAUAGGGUUUCCAUGGAGCAGCUAAUGUAUUCGAACUGCCAAGCUUUUGGUUAGCAGCUGAGUUCUUAACCACUGCACCACCAGUGCUCCAAAUAUACUCUGGCCCAGUAGUUCAAAUGCAACAGCCGCUCCUUGAAAACCCUAUGAGGCAGUUCUACUCUGACCUAUAGGGUCAUUAUGCAUCAGAAUUGACUCCAACCCAACGGGUUUGUUCUGCCUACUGCCUCAUCCCUAUUUCAUUUUCUCAGAGAUAAGUUUCUCUGAUAGUGUCAGAUUCAGGAAUGUGAUGAAAAAUGUCUCUUGUAGGGGUGGGGCCAAGAUGGCAGAGUAGUCAGAUGCUUUAUGUAGCCCCUCUUAUAACAAAGACCCAGAGAAGUAAAUCGAUUAUAUAUGACAAUCUAGGAGCCCUGAACAUCAAAGGUGAAGUUACAGAAUUGGACUUAGUGGCAGGGGGAGGGGAAUAUGGUUCAGAAGCAGUGAGAGUUUGACAGACCUGACCCGGCAGAAACCAGCACCCUGCAGGCUGGAUCGGAUGGCAUGUGCGGUGACGCAAGCAGUGACACUCGGGACAUGUUUUCCACAUCUGAAGAGACCGAGUGGUGGAAAGCCUACACAAGCCUCCAUAAGCAGUGAAAAGCAGUGCUAAGUUGGCAAAAGAUAAGUACAUGCAUUUAAAAUGCCACACAAAUCAAAAAUCAUCCCCUUUGGGAAGAACACCUCUCCCAUUUACCUGCUUCCUCCCUCUCUGUUUUUAGUCUUGGACCAGCUUCAGCUAUUUCUGGGUCCCCUGGGCCAAAGUAGGAACUAUUACAUGCCCUGGAGCAGGAACAAACAACAAAAAAUAAUCUGCCAGCUUCCCUAAGCCAGGAACUCAGGGAAGGCACAGACAUAAGGGGUCCAAGGAGUUUGAAUGCCUUUCACCCUUGCACAGAUCUGUGUGGGCCCAUUUCAACAGCAUAGGCUCUCAUUAGCACACUACAACAGGGUAAAUACCUGAAGCCUAUUUUCAACUGUAUCAGCUAUAAAGUGGAGGGGCAGAUUUCUGAUAUUUGACAACGUUCUGCCAAUUAAGCAGAGUCCUCACCUACCCAUAUCAGUGACCUGAGGGUUGGUGGCUCCACCCAUGCCACCUAGCCACCCAAUUCAGGAGUCCAAGAGUAAGUGGUGAAUCCCAGUCCUUACAACCAACAGCAUUGGGUGACCAUGGUCUGGCUGCAAAACCCACCCACCUAUGUGCUCUAGGGAACAGGGACAUGCUUUCCUCCCAGACACUCAGGGGCAGUCAUCCCCCCCACAGUAGCCAGACACCUGUACCUACACCAAUCAACCCUGUAUAUGUAGGACUGUAGGUAAGAGCCUACACCACACACUUGGUGACCGACUACCUGGAUACCUGAGCUGAAUCCAUACAAGAAUGUAAAAGGGCUCCUAGGCUCACAUACCUAGUAACAGCUCUGAUCACCUGGUGACAGGAUGUAAGAACUUCAAAAGGUGCCAAUAAUCAAACUAGCUCACCCAAGCAGCCUAUUUGGGCAUAUCAAAAUAAAACAAGAAGCUAGGACACAGUACACACACACACACACAAAAAAACCAAACCCAGUGCCGUCAAGUAGAUUCCGACUCAGCAAGCAAACAUAAAAUAAAUGAAUAUAAUAACUCACUAAUGGCUCAGAGACAAGUGUAAAUAUCAAAUAACAUAAAGAGGCAGACCAUGAUGGAUUCAGGAAGCUCCCAAAACAACAAAUCAAGAAAUCUUCCAAAUGAAGAGAAAUUCCAGGAAUUGCCGGAGGUAGAAUUUAAAAGAUUAAGAGACCGAGCUCUUCAAGAGAUGCAGGAGGAGAUCAGGCAAAACGAAGAACAAGCCAAGGAACACACAGAUAAAACAACAGAGGAACUUAAGAAGGUUAUACAAGAGUAUAAUGACAAAUGUAACAGGCUGCAAGAAUCCAUAGAAAGAUAGCAAGCAAAUCCAAAAGAGUAACAAUAAAAUUUCAGAAUUAGACAACUCAAUAGAAAAUGAGAGGAGCAGAAUUGAGGCACUGGAAGUCAGAAUUAGUGAGACUGAAGAUAAAGCAAUUGACGCCAAGUUAUUUGAGGAAAAAUCAGAUAAAA
Loxodonta africana (African savanna elephant) is the source of this 13996-nucleotide long non-coding RNA. RefSeq lists it as uncharacterized. Lineage: Eukaryota; Metazoa; Chordata; Mammalia; Proboscidea; Elephantidae. The record is from RefSeq and is a predicted model, not a curated record. The transcript is spliced from 4 exons.